Passer montanus (Eurasian tree sparrow) is the source of this 781-nucleotide long non-coding RNA. RefSeq lists it as uncharacterized. The transcript is spliced from 3 exons. NCBI's taxonomy places the organism in Eukaryota, Metazoa, Chordata, Aves, Passeriformes, Passeridae. The record is from RefSeq and is a predicted model, not a curated record.
GGCUGCAGGAAGAUGGGGUGCAGCAAAGAUACCACAACGGAUGCAGCAUAGGGGUGGCACGGGGAUUUGGGGCGCUGGGUCAGACUGGCACCCCACCCAAGAGCAGUUUCAGUGAAGGACAUGGUGGUUUGGGCUGCCAGCACAGACCUCGCAGCACCCGGGCUAAAUAAGCAAUCUGUGCUCAGCUUUCUCUUCAAAGAUGGUGUGCCUGGAUUACUUAGAAAAGACUUUUUCCCCUGGCCUGGGAGUUACUACAACACUGAUGGCAGCUCCUUCUGAAUCCCUCUGUGCUUCUAAAAAUACGGAGAGGAGCACGACCAAGUUAUGGGAUGACACAGAUGUGCUUCAGCAUCACCCACACCAUCACAACACUCCUUUUUCCAUCCCCACCUCCCUCCAGUGCUGCCUUGCACAAGUCCUGAUGGGUUGUUCUAAGCUUUCCUCCAAGCAAUGUCAUUUUGGAGUUUGUCCCUGAGGAAUGCUCCACCUCAAUCCUCAUUUCUGGCUGGAUUUUUCCUGCAGGCUGGCUGAAUAUUGGAAAGCUGCUCCUGAGAAGAAUGGCUGGAGAAAAGCACACCAGAGUUUGCAAUUAAUAUUAUUGCAGUGGGAAAGUGGAAAACUUAAGCUUCAAACCCUCAUCAACCAUCCUGACACUGCUGAGAGAGGCAUGGAUUGUUCCCUGCUGCAAAUAAAGCACUGAUGUAAGAGAAAAUGAGUGUGGGAUAAGCCAUAGGCAAAGGCACCACUUUGGAAAACCUGCCCAUGCCCCAAAGUGCUUGGA